Molecule: ribosomal RNA, 496 nt
Filed under: uncultured bacterium
Lineage: Bacteria
Description: partial 16S ribosomal RNA
Rfam family: Bacterial small subunit ribosomal RNA
Source: RNAcentral
GAUGAACGCUGGCGGCGUGCCUAAUACAUGCAAGUCGAGCGAACAGACGAGGAGCUUGCUCCUCUGACGUUAGCGGCGGACGGGUGAGUAACACGUGGAUAACCUACCUAUAAGACUGGGAUAACUUCGGGAAACCGGAGCUAAUACCGGAUAAUAUAUUGAACCGCAUGGUUCAAUAGUGAAAGACGGUUUUGCUGUCACUUAUAGAUGGAUCCGCGCCGCAUUAGCUAGUUGGUAAGGUAACGGCUUACCAAGGCAACGAUGCGUAGCCGACCUGAGAGGGUGAUCGGCCACACGGAAACUGAGACACGGUCCAGACUCCUACGGGAGGCAGCAGUAGGGAAUCUUCCGCAAUGGGCGAAAGCUUGACGGAGCAACGCCGCGUGAGUGAUGAAGGUCUUCGGAUCGUAAAACUCUGUUAUUAGGGAAGAACAAAUGUGUAAGUAACUAUGCACGUCUUGACGGUACCUAAUCAGAAAGCCACGGCUAACUACGU